CGAGGUGUAGCGCAGCCUGGUAGCGCGCUCGUCUGGGGGACGAGAAGUCGCUGGUUCGAAUCCAGUCACCUCGACCA
This 77-nucleotide transfer RNA is filed under the name Pseudomonadota bacterium. Its description in RNAcentral is "Proteobacteria bacterium tRNA-Pro". It matches the Rfam family "tRNA". Rfam says of the family: Transfer RNA (tRNA) molecules are approximately 80 nucleotides in length. Their secondary structure includes four short double-helical elements and three loops (D, anti-codon, and T loops). The record is from RNAcentral. Lineage: Bacteria; Pseudomonadati; Pseudomonadota.